GACGAACGCUGGCGGCGUGCUUAACACAUGCAAGUCGAACGGUUUUUCAGGUGUAGCAAUACAUUUGAAGAGCAGUGGCGAACGGGUGCGUAACACGUGAACAAUCUACCUUUUAGUGUGGAAUAGCUCGGCGAAAGCCGGAUUAAUACCGCAUGUGGUUGCCUCUCGCAUGAGAGACAUACUAAAGUCAGGGACCGCAAGGCCUGACGCUAUUAGAGGAGUUCGCGGCCUAUCAGCUAGUUGGCGGGGUAACGGCUCACCAAGGCUAAGACGGGUAGCUGAUCUGAGAGGAUGAUCAGCCACACUGGAACUGAGACACGGUCCAGACGACCUACGGGUGGCAGCAGUUUCGAAUCAUUCACAAUGGGCGAAA
RNAcentral lists this ribosomal RNA (373 nucleotides) under uncultured bacterium. RNAcentral's name for it is "bacterial SSU rRNA". It matches the Rfam family "Bacterial small subunit ribosomal RNA", at positions 28 to 380 of the family's 1533-position model. The record is from RNAcentral.